GACGAACGCUGGCGGCGUGCUUAACACAUGCAAGUCGAACGGAAAGGCCCGCCUUUUCUUGUGUGUUCGGGGUACGCGAGUGGCGAAAGGGCGAGUAACACGUGACCGAUAUGCCCCCAAAUCGGGUAGAAACCUGGGAUACUAGCGCUAAUUAGCGAUUGGACCGCAGGGUGGGGUCUGUGGUGGCAAAUGUUUUUCUAGUGGUUGGGGAUGAGCUGGCGGCCUAUCAGCUUGUUGGUGGGGUAAUGUCCGACCAAGGCGCCGACGGGUAGCCGGCGUGGGAGAGUGGACAGCGGAAUUGGGACUGGGACACGGCCCAGACGGCUACGGGAAGAAGCAGUGGGGAAGAAUGGGCGGUGAGCUGAACCCAGAAGCCGCGACGCCGGGUGGGGGAUGUCGGGCUUCGGAUUGUAGACUUCUGGCGACCACGAGGAGGCCACCUGGUUGGAAGGGUGGUGACGGUAGUGGAAGAAGAAGCACCGGCUAACUACGUG
This 494-nucleotide ribosomal RNA is filed under the name uncultured bacterium. RNAcentral's name for it is "partial 16S ribosomal RNA". It matches the Rfam family "Bacterial small subunit ribosomal RNA", at positions 28 to 507 of the family's 1533-position model. The record is from RNAcentral.